CCCAAAAUUGAUAGAAGAUCAUAAAGAUAAAUAAAUUUUAUUUUUAGACUAUAAAGCUAGAUUUAAAAAAAUAAAGGACUAUAUACCUAAGAAAAGUUUUUUCUAGAGCUAUACACCUAAUUCUCCCAUAGUAGAAGAAGAACAGGGACAGAGAUGGGCCGGGCACUCGACUCAUAUAGCACUGUUCACUGGAUACAUUAGACAACAUACAUUGGGCCGGACACUCGGGUACUGGGCCGGCUAGCUCUCUUGGCCCUUGACGCGGUCGCCGC
This 272-nucleotide long non-coding RNA is filed under the name Sorghum bicolor (sorghum). Its description in RNAcentral is "long non-coding RNA (SBIC_LNC005856)". The record is from RNAcentral. Lineage: Eukaryota; Viridiplantae; Streptophyta; Magnoliopsida; Poales; Poaceae.